RNAcentral lists this small RNA (27 nucleotides) under Bombyx mori (domestic silkworm). RNAcentral describes it as "ovarian small RNA-15973". Lineage: Eukaryota; Metazoa; Arthropoda; Insecta; Lepidoptera; Bombycidae. The record is from RNAcentral.
GAGGUUCUACUACGCACAGGUCGACAC